GAAAUGCGAUAAUUAAUGUGAAUUGCAGAAUUCAGUGAAUCAGCGAGUCUUUGAACGCACAUUGCGCCCCCUGGUAUUCCGGGGGGCAUGCCUGUCCGAGCGUCAUUGCUGCCCUCAAGCACGGCUUGUGUGUUGGGCUUCCGUCCCUGGCAACGGGGACGGGCCCAAAAGGCAGUGGCGGCACCAUGUCUGGUCCUCGAGCGUAUGGGGCUUUGUCACCCGCUCCCGUAGGUCCAGCUGGCAGCUAGCCUCGCAACCAAUCUUUUUAACCAGGUUGACCUCGGAUCAGGUAGGGAUACCCGCUGAACUUAAGC
Molecule: unclassified non-coding RNA, 314 nt
Filed under: plant metagenome
Description: partial contains 5.8S ribosomal RNA, internal transcribed spacer 2, and large subunit ribosomal RNA
Rfam family: 5.8S ribosomal RNA (bases 1-105)
Source: RNAcentral